Molecule: long non-coding RNA, 289 nt
Filed under: Cricetulus griseus (Chinese hamster)
Lineage: Eukaryota; Metazoa; Chordata; Mammalia; Rodentia; Cricetidae
Description: lncRNA (ENSCGRG00015035030.1)
Source: RNAcentral
GUUAGAUGGGACUAGGAGUCAAAGAGGAUUCUGGGAAAUGUAGUAGAGAAGUGGUGAUCCAGGAAGGAAGUGACAUAGCAAGGAGACUCAUUUAAGCAAAGGACACUUCCUGAAGUGUCCCCUUUUCCCUGGGCUCUUUCUCCAGCGGAGCAAUGUGAUCCACAAGCAAGGAGGGACACCAAUAAGGCAUCCAGGGCAGGGGACACAUGCUCAUGGCACAGCACUCAUGCGGAGGUCAGAAGAAAACCUACAGGGAAUCGGGGCUCCUCUAUCCUCUGUUUGGUUCCUA